Molecule: ribosomal RNA, 914 nt
Filed under: uncultured Candidatus Poseidoniales archaeon
Lineage: Archaea; Methanobacteriati; Thermoplasmatota; Candidatus Poseidoniia; Candidatus Poseidoniales
Description: SSU rRNA
Rfam family: Archaeal small subunit ribosomal RNA
Source: RNAcentral
UGGUUGAUCCUGCCGGAGGCUACCGCUAUUGGAGUUCGAUUAAGCCAUGCGAGUAGAAAGAAAUCAGAUUCUUUGCGUACCGCUCAGUAACACGUGGGUAACCUGCCCUAUGCUUGGGAAUAACCUCGGGAAACUGAGAAUAAUGCCCAAUAGUCCACUACGCCUGGAACGGUGAGUGGAUCAAAGCUUCGGCGGCAUAGGAUGGGCCUGCGCCGUAUCAGGUUGUAGGGGGUGUAAAGUACUCUCUAGCCAUCAACGCGUACGGGUGUUGGGAGACAUUGCCCGGAGAUGGAUUCUGAGACACGAAUCCAGACCCUACGGGGUGCAGCAGGCGCGAAAACUUGGCAAUGCGAGCAAUCGUGACCAGGGAACUCCAAGUGCGUAGGGUAAGACCUACGCUUUUCUUGACUCUUCAAAGGUCUUGGAAUAAGGGGUGGGUAAGGACGGUGCCAGCCGCCGCGGUAAUACCGGCGCCUCAAGUGGUAGUCGCUUUUAUUGGGCCUAAAACGUCCGUAGCCGGUCUGGUGCAUUCGUGGGUAAAUCAACCCGCUCAACGGGUUGAAUUCUGCGAGCACGGCCAGACUUGGGACCGGGAGAGGUGUGGGGUACUCUCAGGGUAGGGGUAAAAUCCUGUCAUCCUGAGAGGACCACCUGUUGCGAAGGCGCCACACUAGAACGGAUCCGACGGUCAGGGACGAAACCUAGGGGCACGAACCGGAUUAGAUACCCGGGUAGUCCUAGGUGUAAACGCUGUGGACUUGAUGUUGGGGGUGCUCCGAGCUCCCUCAGUGUCGAAGCGAAGGUGAUAAGUCCACUGCCUGGGGAGUACGGUCGCAAGGCUGAAACUUAAAGGAAUUGGCGGGGGAGCACUGCAACCUGAGGAUUGUGCGGUUUAAUUGGACUCAACGCCGGGA